Molecule: long non-coding RNA, 537 nt
Filed under: Rattus norvegicus (Norway rat)
Lineage: Eukaryota; Metazoa; Chordata; Mammalia; Rodentia; Muridae
Description: long non-coding RNA NONRATT022698
Rfam family: tRNA (bases 454-522)
Source: RNAcentral
GAAUUGAAUUAUCUAAUAGUUAGACCAAAUUCAGCAUAACGAGUGAGUGGUGCAGAGGAAAGCAGGCAGGACGGCCAGGGAAAAGUUAGCCCUGAAAUGCGCACAUGCCCAAAGAGCUUUGUCUCUUAAGUAGGACACUGAAAUCCAGAGUGGACCAGGUCUGGACCAGGGUACCAUGGAGAUGCCACUUGGCUAGGGUGUCAGAUGUACAGCUGUUCUGAUAGACCAAGCAGUGUAGACGUAUAGGAUUUUUAUCAGUUCCCUUAGUUCCUAGGUUGCUGCAUCUGUGUUGUUACUGUUUUUUGUUGGUUUUGUUUUGGAUUUUGUGUUUGGGUGUCGUUGUUGUUGUUGUUGUUGUUGUUGUUGCUGUUGUUGUUGUUGUUUUCUUUUGGUUUUGGUUUGGUUUAGUUCUGGCCAUCCUGAGUGCUGAGAUUAAAAGUGUACACCAGGGUUGGGGAUUUAGCUCAGUGGUAGAGCGCUUGCCUAGGAAGCGCAAGGCCCUGGGUUCGGUCCCCAGCUCCGAAAAAGAAAAAAAAA